Molecule: non-coding RNA, 1152 nt
Organism: Corylus avellana
Lineage: Eukaryota; Viridiplantae; Streptophyta; Magnoliopsida; Fagales; Betulaceae
Source: RefSeq, a predicted model, not a curated record
UGGUGUGGGCAGCGGCGUAACCGGAGUUGGCGGCUGGGUCGCGACCACGCUGGGUCAUGGGGCCGUGACCCACGCUGGCCUGAGACUCGCGUGGGUCUGCAGACCCACGCUGGGUCAGGAAGACCCACGUCGGCCUGAGACCCGCGUGGGUCUGCAGACCCACGCCGGCCUGAGACACUCGUGGGUCUCAGGCCGGACUCCUGUCAAAUCUGCUCCACCUCAAUUGGGAUCUCUUAUAUUUGUUGAGCCUGUUGAUGCAUGGUUAUGGACAAAUAACAAUUGAUACAAAGCAAGGCCUUUUUGCCUCAGAAGCAAGGUGUUCAGGUCUCAGAUGAAGCUCCGAUGAAGCUCUCAUUUUCACUUUAACUCUCACCCUUUCUCUCUCCCUCUCAAAAUCUAGUGUUUUUGUUUUAGAAAAUUUGUGUGCAAUUUUUUUACUUUAGAUGAGGUGUCUUAUUUCUAUUGGGUGGCAGAAAACUCAUGUUUUCUGCCACGACCGAAUGGAAGAUAUCCCCAUUUAAAAAUAGGAGCCGCUUUGUAGAAAAGCCUCAUUCAAGCUAUUCUUGAAAGACGGCAAUCGUAGAUGAAAACGACACAAAAAUCCCAAAAGGCAAGCCUUAUUUUUGUGGAGGGUAAAUCGGGUAUCAAAUAGUAAAAAGAAAAACGGAGUUCCGAGCAACGAAGAUGUGAUGUAAUGCAGACAGAGGAAGGAGAAAGCGAGGGAAAGAUGGCAGAGCCUAAACAGGCACUCAUCAAGGAGAUAAGAAGCCACGAGGUUGCCAUUGCUGAGCUCAAUAAUCUUUCUUCAUCCAGGGCUGUCUAUCAAAAAAAUGGGAAUAUAUUCUUCCGGACAACCAUUCAAAAGGCAACUGCAUCUGAAGAGAAACAACUUGAUUUGGCCAAAGCCAAGCAUGAAAAGCUGGAAUCUCCUUGAAGCGACGCUGGUUGCUAUGUCUUCAACCUUUCUGGCCUCAAAAGCUUUUAACUAAUUAAAUACGAGAAGGCAUUCAACUGAGAUUGGUCUCUUUUAGUACUGUGAUGUUUUUAGAAGGUCAUGAGAUUUGUAAAGAACUAUUUCUCUACCGCAUCGGCUCAACAGUCUGACGUUUGAGUGCUCAUUUUAUUACUUUAACGGUGCACUUUUUUACCUUU